CUCAGCCCUGGUCUUGAGAGAUCAUGGUUUGUAUCUGUGCUAGCUGAAAUGGCCUUAACUCGAUGAUGGACCAGAUCACACUGGGAGUGGGGACCUGGCCUUCAGCUUGGGCCAAAGGUGCAAUAGAAGAAUGCCUUUCAGCAACAUGGCAAACUACUCUUGAGUGCAGGAAAGCCCAAGAUUCUCCUGUGAAGUCCUUGGCGUCUCUUCAGGAACAGCAACAAGAUACCUUCCCCUGAGUGCAGCCAUCUCUGGCUUUCCAUGCUGUCCUGCACCCUGUAUCAGGCACCAUCUGCUUGAUGCCACAUCUCUCAAUGAGGCCCUGCUACACAGAGGCAUCUGGCUGUGGCACAAACAGGUCAGCCAGCUCUGCCUGGUUCUUGAGGAGAGCUUGUGGUGUGGGGCCAGAUCCGGCAGGAAGUUAAGGCUUGGCGUAGCACAGGGAGAGGUUCUGGCUGAGCACCGGUGUGCUGUGAUGUUGAAGGCUGAUUGCGAAACCAAGAGGUAGGAGGGGACUGAGGGAAGUAACUCAUAAAGUCAUGAUCCAAGGAGACAUUUGAGGUCAAGAUCUAGGUGUAAAUGAUUAGAAAUGAAGUGGGGAAGAGAAAUGUGAAAAACAGAGCACACAGCUGUGUUUAAAGAGGAGUAGAGGAUGAGGAAAGAAUAGGUAGCUUUGGGGACCUGAGGGCAAUGCUGAUUGCAUGGGCAGCACCUCCUCCAUAAAUCUUAGCACAGCUGCAAACCAGCAGAUGUUUUGG
RNAcentral lists this long non-coding RNA (758 nucleotides) under Numida meleagris (helmeted guineafowl). RNAcentral describes it as "lncRNA (ENSNMEG00000000171.1)". The record is from RNAcentral. Lineage: Eukaryota; Metazoa; Chordata; Aves; Galliformes; Numididae.